GGGAGGAGCGGCUGCGGUCGCUAGCCCAGCCCUGGGGGCGCCGCCCGGGCGGGUACCUGCUGGGUGCUGAAGUCCCAUCCUAGGCUGCAAAUGCAGAAGCUAUUCAUGGGUCCAAUCUCAUCACUACUUUGGACUGAAGCUUUAACUUUCCUGGGUCUGACCAUAUUGGUUCCAGAAAGUGCUGAAACCCAAUGGGCUUAGGCCUCUAUGGCUCAGAAAUACUAAGCUCAAGAGAUCCUCCAGUCUCAACCUCCCUGGUCAUUGAGAUUAUAGGUGUGCACUACAAAGUCCAACAACCUCGUUUUACAGAUAAAUGUGAACGCUCCCAUGAUGCAGCAGCUGGAAGGAGUGUGUGUGUGUGUGUGUACUCACAAAUACAUAAUAAGGGAGAUCUGUGAUCUCAUGGGUGUAAGCAGCCCUGUAGAUGGAAUGCUGAUCUUGGGAGGCAGCGGAAGCAAAGAGGUCACUAAACAGGUUUUGGGGAAGAAGUUCCUCAAUUUAAACAGAAGAGUACCUGAGACAGCGUCAGCCAUAUGGAGAAGCUGAGGACCCUGCCUCUGAGAGACAGAUGAUAACAUGGAAUAAAAGUGCCUUGGACAGAAUGUGGAGUAUUCAUAGACGUUCUGAACUGGUUCUGGUCUGCUGACCAUGUGGUUAAGAGGAAUCUUUUUAAUCUGUCUGUGUAACCAGAACCUGGAAUAUCUUCACAAAAGAUGAGUCAGUCUUGGUCUUUUACCUUUGGUCACUGUUUCUUGGCCUUAUCAGAGUCUAGAGAGAGACAAUUCUAAAGGGAGAAAGGCCUGGAGGUCUUCUCCCUCUCCAGGUCAUUCUAAUCAUCAGGCACCUAACAAUAAGAGAAAAUAACCAAUGGGGGUUCAAGUAGAUGGCAGUAAAACAGAGACAUCCACAAUCCCUUGGGUUACCCUAGAAUCCUAAGAAAAAGAGGUUAAGGGGGCAGCUAGGUGGCAUGGUGGAUAGAGCACCGGCCCUGGAUUUAAGAGGACGUGAGUUCAAAU
This is a long non-coding RNA of Vombatus ursinus (common wombat), 1016 nucleotides long. RefSeq lists it as uncharacterized. The record is from RefSeq and is a predicted model, not a curated record. NCBI's taxonomy places the organism in Eukaryota, Metazoa, Chordata, Mammalia, Diprotodontia, Vombatidae. The transcript has 4 exons.